RNAcentral lists this long non-coding RNA (1273 nucleotides) under Felis catus (domestic cat). Its description in RNAcentral is "lncRNA (ENSFCAG00000053261.1)". Lineage: Eukaryota; Metazoa; Chordata; Mammalia; Carnivora; Felidae. The record is from RNAcentral.
UUGAAACGGCCAACCUUGGGGGCGCCUGGAGGGCUCAGUCGGUUAAGCCUCCCACCUCGGCCUAGGUCAUGAUCUCGCCCUCCAGAGUUCCAGCCCCCCCCCCCAGCGGGGCUCCCCGCCGCCGACAGCUCGGAGCCGGGAGCCCCGCUUCGGAUUCUGUGUCUCCCCCUCUCUCUGCCCCUCCCCUGCUCGCGCUCUGUCUCUCUCUCUCUCUCUCUCUCUCUCAAAAAUAAAUAAGCAUUAAAAAAAAGAAAGAAAGAAAAAAAAGAAUAUUUGAAAUACUUUAAGAACCGUAAGCUGCUACACGUGAUUUUCACACUUGGUCCCUAGAACACUAAGGAACAGGAACGCGCUUUCACUCAUCUACAAAAGCACAGCGCGUCUAUCCAGGGAGUCUCCCGGGGACGGACACUGGGGUGGUUUCCGGCUGGGGAUCAGGACGCACCGCGUGGCCGCGGGCGCUCGCCGGCCGUGUACCAGGGCGGACGUGUGCACACACUUGGGCACCAGUGCGCCCUGGCCCUGACGAGGGAUCCUGGCAGACCGUUUCCAGAGGGGUUGUCCCGAUUUAUCCUCGCACACCAGCGCGUGAGGACCAGCUGCUGCUGGUCCCCAGCGCUGCGGACCGGAGAGGGGGCUGGGCCCGGCAGUCGACGGGGCCUCACACCGACGCCAAACCGGGCCAUCAGCGUGGCCCAGCAGGGUGCCAGUGACCUCAUCUCGGCUGCCUGGCCCCACUCCCGCUUCUGUCCCUACCAACGCACCCCAGCGUGAGUGGCUCGACCCUGCUAAGCCUCAUUUGCCACAUCUGUCAAUAGGGAUUUUUUAAGCCGUGUGCUGCUGAUUUAAUGUGCUAAAGAUUGGCUUCAUUUAGACAAUACACUAUCUUAUGUCAGUUGCUUUUCCAGGUUCAUGGAGCACCGUGAACCCUCUGAAAAUAUUCGGGGAGCAGUUGCAGCUUUGGGGGCAGCGGCAGUGUGUGCAUAACACAUUUGGGGACACAGUGGAGCUGGCAAAGGCAUGGAUCCCGGAUCUGGACCGCCUGGGUUCAACUCCCAGCUCUCCGACUAACCGGCUGUGCCACCUGAGAAUAGUUACUUAACCUCUCUGGGCCUCAGUCUCCCCGUUUAUCCACGGGGGUCAAAACAGCACCUGUCUCACUGAGCUGCUGUGAGACUAAAUGAGUUGAUGCGUGUCAAGCAUGGUUGGGACAGUGCCUGGCAUGUCGUAAGUGCUCAAUAAACGUUAGGUGUUGUUUUAUUCGUUUUAAUUG